RNAcentral lists this transfer RNA (71 nucleotides) under Loxodonta africana (African savanna elephant). It matches the Rfam family "tRNA". Rfam says of the family: Transfer RNA (tRNA) molecules are approximately 80 nucleotides in length. Their secondary structure includes four short double-helical elements and three loops (D, anti-codon, and T loops). Further hydrogen bonds mediate the characteristic L-shaped molecular structure. tRNAs have two regions of fundamental functional importance: the anti-codon, which is responsible for specific mRNA codon recognition, and the 3' end, to which the tRNAs corresponding amino acid is attached (by aminoacyl-tRNA synthetases). tRNAs cope with the degeneracy of the genetic code in two manners: having more than one tRNA (with a specific anti-codon) for a particular amino acid; and 'wobble' base-pairing, i.e. permitting non-standard base-pairing at the 3rd anti-codon position. Lineage: Eukaryota; Metazoa; Chordata; Mammalia; Proboscidea; Elephantidae. The record is from Rfam by way of RNAcentral.
GCAGUGGUAGUUCAGUAGUAGAAUUCUAGACUUCCAUGUAGGAGACUUGGGUUCAAUUCUCAGCCAAUGCA